GCAAGUCGAGGGGUAACAUGAUCUUCGGAUUGAUGACGACCGGCGCACGGGUGAGUAACGCGUAUGCAACCUACCCGUAGCUGAGGGAUAGCCCGAAGAAAUUCGGAUUAAUACCUCAUAAUACUUUUAGAUCACAUGAUUUAGAUUUUAAAGUUCCGACGGCUACGGAUGGGCAUGCGUGACAUUAGUUUGUUGGUGAGGUAACGGCUCACCAAGACUACGAUGUCUAGGGGUUCUGAGAGGAAGGUC
Molecule: ribosomal RNA, 249 nt
Filed under: uncultured bacterium
Lineage: Bacteria
Description: partial 16S ribosomal RNA
Rfam family: Bacterial small subunit ribosomal RNA
Source: RNAcentral